GGCUCAGGAUGAACGCUAGCUACAGGCUUAACACAUGACAAGUCGAGGGGAAACGAUAGAGAAAGCUUGCUUUUUCUAGGCGUCGACCGGCGCACGGGUGAGUAACGCGUAUCCAACCUGCCCAUCACUUGGGGAUAACCUUGCGAAAGUAAGACUAAUACCCAAUGACGUCUCUAGAAGACAUCUGAAGGAGAUUAAAGAUUUAUCGGUGAUGGAUGGGGAUGCGUCUGAUUAGCUUGUUGGCGGGUAACGGCCCACCAAGGCAACGAUCAGUAGGGGUUCUGAGAGGAAGGUCCCCCACAUUGGAACUGAGACACGGUCCAAACUCCUACGGGAGGCAGCAGUGAGGAAUAUUGGUCAAUGGACGAGAGUCUGAACCAGCCAAGUAGCGUGCAGGAUGACGGCCCUAUGGGUUGUAAACUGCUUUUAUAAGGGAAUAAAGUGAGUCUCGUGAGACUUUUUGCAUGUACCUUAUGAAUAAGGACCGGCUAAUUCCGUG
This 499-nucleotide ribosomal RNA is filed under the name uncultured bacterium. RNAcentral's name for it is "bacterial SSU rRNA". It matches the Rfam family "Bacterial small subunit ribosomal RNA", at positions 21 to 507 of the family's 1533-position model. The record is from RNAcentral.